RNAcentral lists this ribosomal RNA (644 nucleotides) under uncultured bacterium. RNAcentral's name for it is "bacterial SSU rRNA". The stretch from base 1 to 539 matches the Rfam family "Bacterial small subunit ribosomal RNA", at positions 338 to 873 of the family's 1533-position model. The record is from RNAcentral.
CCUACGGGAGGCAGCAGUAAGGAAUAUUGGACAAUGGAGGGCAACUCUGAUCCAGCCAUGCCGCGUGCAGGAAGAAGGCGCUACGCGUUGUAAACUGCUUUUGUACCAGAGAAAAUCAUUGUACGUGUACGAUGUUGAUAGUAUGGUAAGAAUAAGCAUCGGCUAACUUCGUGCCAGCAGCCGCGGUAAUACGAAGGAUGCAAGCGUUAUCCGGAUUUAUGGGUUUAAAGGGAGCGUAGGCGGUCUUAUAAGUCAGUGGUGAAAUCUCGUUGCUUAACAACGAACGUGCCAUUGAUACUGUAGGACUUGAGUACAGUUGCCGUUGGCGGAAUGUGUCAUGUAGCAGUGAAAUGCAUAGAUAUGACACAGAACACCGAUUGCGAAGGCAGCUGACGAAACUGUAACUGACGCUGAGGCUCGAAAGCGUGGGGAUCAAACAGGAUUAGAUACCCUGUAGUCCACGCCCUAAACUAUNAUACUCUCUGUCGCGAGUAUACUGUCGGUAGACGUAGACGAAGUAACGGUUAAGUUAAGUUACCGUUACCGUACGGGUUAGGUUACGGCCGGCCGACGGGUUAGGAACGUUACGAAGAGAAGUUAGUUACGGCGNGAGACGAGCGACGGACGACGACGAGGGAGGUAGG